AACGAACGCUGGCGGCAUGCCUAACACAUGCAAGUCGAACGAGACCUUCGGGUCUAGUGGCGCACGGGUGCGUAACGCGUGGGAACCUGCCUUUAGGUUCGGAAUAACUCAGAGAAAUUUGAGUUAAUACCGGAUGAUGUCUUCGGACCAAAGAUUUAUCGCCUUUAGAUGGGCCCGCGUUGGAUUAGCUUGUUGGUGAG
RNAcentral lists this ribosomal RNA (200 nucleotides) under uncultured bacterium. RNAcentral's name for it is "partial 16S ribosomal RNA". It matches the Rfam family "Bacterial small subunit ribosomal RNA", at positions 29 to 256 of the family's 1533-position model. The record is from RNAcentral.